AAAGGUUUCAAGUCACAAUGAGAGAUGGCCAGGUGGACCCUGGACGAACGAGUCUCUUUCCUUAAGCAUGCAAAAGUCAAACACAAAAAACCCAAGCCCCCAAACCUAAUUUGAUCUUAUAACGACACCGUUUUCAUCUUGUCUUGGCACUUGGUUUGGCUUUAACUUCCUUCUCUGUAAAAACACAAAGCUGCUAUGCUAUGUAAGUUCCUUUGGUCCCUUCUCUUUGUAAACUAAACCCUCCUUAAUUCUCAACCAUCUAUUUCCACAACACACACACAAAUACAUGGCUCUGUAGAUAAAAAGAAAAAAGGAUUCACAAUCUUGCGAAGCAUCUAAAACCCUCAAAACACGCAAAACCCACAUCCCGAACUCAGCGCCCAGGCGGAGACAAGUCGAAGAAGAUGGAAAGCAGCGCCGAUAUAGUAAACGUCAACAGCUGUAGUGGCAACGGCAACAGCAGCACGCGCCUGCCUCUAUCAGAGGUUGUAUCGGAUUGCGUGAAGAGGUGGUUCAAAGACACCCUCAAAGAAGCCAAGGCUGGGGAUAUCAACAUGCAGGUUUUGGUUGGUCAAAUGUAUUAUAGCGGAUAUGGAGUCCCUAGAGAUGCCCAAAAGGGAAGAAUUUGGAUGACAAGGGCAUCAAGGACUCGGUCUUCAGUUUGGAAAGUCAGUGAUAAGCAUCCAGGUUAUAAUGCAAGUGAUUCAGACUCGGAUGAAUUGAAGGGUGAUUCUUAAAAAGACCAAAUUAGUUUCAAGACCAAAACAUUAAAAUGUGAGCUGGCAUUUAUCUUUUUCUUGGACUUUUAAUGCUUAAUUUGCUUUUUUGGGGGCGUGCUGUUGGUCAAUCAUUUAGUGUAGCAGAUUUUUAAGCUCGUGCUGUCAUUUUUGUUCCUUGUAUGAUUUCUGGAGAAAGGUUUUCUCAGAAUUCAUCACUAAUUACAAAUCCAUUGCUAGAAAUGCUCAAUAAAUGUAUGUUGAUUGAUUUUGCCAGCUUUUCCUCAGAAUUAUGCGUCUCCUUAGGUGUGAUGGGGAGGUUUACCUGCUUUUUAAACUGUGCUUGCUCCAUAGACAAUGACUAACAAUAGAAUAUUUGGUUAAUGAUGCCAUUUAACUUAAAAGGCUGAAGAAAGAGUGUUGAAACUAGUGGCAAUUUUUCCCAAGACCUUCUUAAAGUGACAUGAAAAUUAAUGUGAGCUGUCUGAUAUAUGUAUAAUUUUGUUUAAACUUUCUUCGUUGGCGCUUUCAGCUCCCUUUUCAUCAUUCUUUUCUCCCUAUGUAUGGGCAGCAAUUACCUGUUAUAUAGAAGUUUUCUUUUGUUUACUCUGGCAUUCUUGUUUUGCAUGUGCUUUUAGUUUCUGUUACUUUCUUCCUUCUAUUAUAAUAAUCUAUGAUGCCUUAGCUAUUUCAUUAUACAUUUCUAUAAUUCAGCAUGCCUCAGUUACUCUGCAGAUUCAGUGUCUGCUCUGUGGUUCUAAAACAACAAAAUUAUUAAAUUAGCAUUGAUAUAUAACUGUAGGCUAUAGCAUCACUUGAUUGCCUGAUAAUUGCUGAUGUAUUUCCGUGUUCUAUAGUUCUACAUGAAUAUAUUGAUAACAUAAAAUUCAGUAGUCAAGAAGCAUAACAAUC
Molecule: unclassified non-coding RNA, 1628 nt
Filed under: Hevea brasiliensis (rubber tree)
Lineage: Eukaryota; Viridiplantae; Streptophyta; Magnoliopsida; Malpighiales; Euphorbiaceae
Source: RNAcentral